CGCAACCUGCAUUGCUUUUCUUUCAUUCUAGAAGAACGGGAGCACCAGAGCAACACAAGUAGUAGUACUAGUAAAAGAAGAGAGCCGGACGGCCAAUCGACACACAGAAACAAGGGAUCCUCCGCCUCCGACCCUAGUCAUGCUCCUGCGCACGCCCUGCACCCUCUGGGAACCCCGCGCCAGAGCCAGAGCCAGCGCCGGACCCCGUGCGGACGGUGGCCACGCACCGCGAGCUGCUCUCCCCGUGGAACACGUAUAUCCGGACGAGGCACACCACCUCGACGGAGACGGGCACCUCGAAGGCGCGCAGCACGAGCGCCUUGCCCACCACCCUCGCCACGGCCACGAACGGCAGCACGCCCGCGACGGCGUCCGACGCGAAGUGGGGGCUCUCGGCCACCUUCACCCCGUCCACCACCGUGGCCGGCUCGACCCGCGCCGUGGCCCCGCCCCCGACCUCGCCCGCCGGCACCAGCGUCUCCCCGACCGGCGCGCCGUGGUACGUCACCGCGCUCAGCGCCGCGCCGUACCGGAACGGCGCGUUGCUCGGGUUGCUCACCACCACGUGCACGCCCACCGACAGCUUCAGCGCCGGGUGCGGCAGCAGCCGGAACUCCUCGAUGCCCACGUCCACCGGCGUCGCCACCACGCGCGGCGGCCGCGGACGGUACCGCAGGUAGAAGGCCAGCGCCAGCGCGCCCAGGAUCACCAGCACGCCCAGCGCCACGCAGCACGCCAGGCGGUGCGCCCUCCGCCUCGCCUUGCUGCUGCCCUUGUUAUUGUUAUCAUCACUCAUCUUCGCCGAAUCCCUUCUUGAUGCUGAGUUGCUCAGUACGUAGAAUUGAACACAGCGAUGGCAACAUGCAUGACAGAGAGUUAUAUUUGUUGCUCCACAUCUUUGUUGGCAGAGGUGAAGACGCUUUUACAUGUCGUCUAUCUGCUGAGGCUAAAUUAUUGCCUUGAGAUGCGCCUAAAACUCAAUUAAUAAGAGGAUUAUGGUUGCUUUGGUCAGCCACAGAGACAUCUCCUUCAAAGUGGUUGAAGUGUUUUUGUGAGCGCAAACGUCUUGUCGCGGGAGAUGCACGUCAUAUUUCUCAGGUGUCAUAUUAUGCUGUGAUCAGCAGUUAAUGUCAGGCACCAAACCACUAUCCCAUCUUCAGUCAUAUUAAGCCACAAUAUGCAUCUUGGUGUUCCUACAACAGCAUGGCAUGCAAGGAAUUAUGAGCUUGGUUAAACUAUUUCUGUUUCUAUGUUCACUUUUAGUUGCAGGGCUAUUGCAGUCCGUUACUUAAUUGGUGCAUGAUUCCCUUGUUUAUUAUAAAAGGAUGUUUUUG
RNAcentral lists this unclassified non-coding RNA (1334 nucleotides) under Zea mays. RNAcentral's name for it is "misc RNA Zm00001eb106220". The record is from RNAcentral. Lineage: Eukaryota; Viridiplantae; Streptophyta; Magnoliopsida; Poales; Poaceae.